CCCUUGGCCUUGACAUACUAAGAACUUUCCAGAGAUGGAUUGGUGCCUUCGGGAACUUAGAUACAGGUGCUGCAUGGCUGUCGUCAGCUCGUGUCGUGAGAUGUUGGGUUAAGUCCGCAACGAGCGCAACCCUUUUCCUUAUUUGCCAGCGGGUAAUGCCGGGAACUUUAAGGAUACUGCCAGUGACAAACUGGAGGAAGGCGGGGACGACGUCAAGUCAUCAUGGCCCUUACGGCCAGGGCUACACACGUGCUACAAUGGUCGGUACAAAGGGUUGCUACCUCGCGAGAGGAUGCUAAUCUCAAAAAGCCGAUCGUAGUCCGGAUCGCAGUCUGCAACUCGACUGCGUGAAGUCGGAAUCGCUAGUAAUCGCGGAUCAGAAUGCCGCGGUGAAUACGUUCCCGGGCCUUGUACACACCGCCCGUCACACCAUGGGAGUUUGUUGCACCAGAAGUAGGUAGUCUAACCGCAAGGAGGACGCUUACCACGGUGUGGCCGAUGACUGGGGUGAAGUCGUAACAAGGUAAGCGUAGAUGA
This 537-nucleotide ribosomal RNA is filed under the name uncultured bacterium. RNAcentral's name for it is "bacterial SSU rRNA". It matches the Rfam family "Bacterial small subunit ribosomal RNA", at positions 972 to 1509 of the family's 1533-position model. The record is from RNAcentral.